CAAGACAUUUUUGAGCUUCUUUCAAAGGUUCACUAGUAGCAACUAAGUUCUCCCCAAGAGGAUCCUCAUCAUACUUUACCGGCAUACCGUCCUCAGAUUUUGCACGAGAUUUAUCGGCCUCUUUUAGCUUCUCAGCACGUUCCAAUCGUUUACUAAGGUCCUUCUUCAGCUUCUUGUAUAUCUUCUUUUCCUCUUCUUCAUUUAUUUCUCCACUAGAAAGCUUCUCAAAAUCGGGUAAUUUAGGGCUAUAUUUAGCAAAUGGUAAAUCAAAUAAGGCAAAAUAGAUUUCAAUAGACCCUUGGGCAGCCUCUCUAAACGAAGGAUCGUCAUAAACACUGUCUUCCCAAGACAUUAAGUCCAGGUAUGUACGAAGAGAUCCCUUGCGAAAUGCGAAGAAGUGGAAAUCAAAUUGAUCAUCAGCCCAAGUAUCAAAUAUUUUAAAAACAGUACUAAAACGUUUCAAAGCCAAAGCAAAUUUUUUUUGUCUAGCAAAUGAUUUCCCAUCUUCAAGCAUGUACCACAGGCAUUGCAUAUCUGCAAGAUCGCCAACAGCACCACCAACAGCCUCAUUGCGUGUAAACAACGAUACCGUUUUGGCGGCAAGUUCAUUUUCAUCAUUACGGAGCAUAUAUUUAGCACACUUGCCGUUAAUAAAUCUAUCUUGCAGAUCAAGUUUACGAGCAUGAUCCAUAAUCUCCAUGGCAGUUUGAAGCUCUCCCUUAUGUUUGGAAAUCCUAGCUUUCGUC
Molecule: non-coding RNA, 746 nt
Organism: Schizosaccharomyces pombe (fission yeast)
Lineage: Eukaryota; Fungi; Ascomycota; Schizosaccharomycetes; Schizosaccharomycetales; Schizosaccharomycetaceae
Source: the annotation of a GenBank genome assembly